CAUCGUUCGAACCACAUCUCGCAAAGAAUAUUUCAAUUAACAUUUUCUAAAACGUACAACAAUGUGUUGGCUUAGUGGUUAUAUUUGUACGAACAAUGAUUGUAAGCUUCCAUUUUAUUCCGUAACCGAUAAGAAAGAACAAGUGCCUAAAUCGUGCCUAACAUGUGGUUCCAUUGCUCGAUGCGUAUAUCAGAUUGAACCUACAUUAGAAGUCAUUGAGAAAAUCGCAUUUAACCCCAACUCCAUAUAUAGACUGUAGAAAGUUUGAUUCCAAAAUUAUGAUGGACAGCCAUAUAUAUUGAACAACUAGACAUCAUAUCCGUCAGCAGUGGUGUCAUUAAAACGUAAAAAUGUAAAAGUAAUUAGAGAAAAAUGUUCAAUAAAACAUAAAAUAAAAACAAGUGUUUUCGGUUCAAA
This is a long non-coding RNA of Contarinia nasturtii (swede midge), 417 nucleotides long. RefSeq lists it as uncharacterized. Lineage: Eukaryota; Metazoa; Arthropoda; Insecta; Diptera; Cecidomyiidae. The record is from RefSeq and is a predicted model, not a curated record. The transcript is spliced from 2 exons.